GCUCAUUACAACAGAUAUAAUUUACUUGUUCUAUUCCUUUAUACGGAUAACUGCGGUAAUUCUGGAGCCAAUACGUGCUAAAAGUAAAAUUCAGCAAUGAGUUUUAUGCACUUAUCGGAGCAAAACCUUUCCUGGUUUAAUGCUAACUCUGGAUAAUACUGCUUAUCGCACGACCUUGUGUCGGCGAARUUACAUUCAAGUAUCUGCCUUAUCAACUUUCGAUGGUAGUGUAUUGGACUGCCAUGGUGUUGACGGGUAACGGAGAAUCAGGGUUCGACUCCGGAGAGGGAGCCUUAGAAACGGCUACCAUGUCUAAGGACAGCAGCAGGCGCGCAACUUAUCCACUGUUCAUUGAACGAGAUAGUGACGAGAAAUAACAAGUCCGUUCUCUAUGAGGUCGGACAUUGGAAUGGAUGAAAUCUAAACAAUUUCAUGAGUACCCACGAGAGGGCAAGUCUGGUGCCAGCAGCCGCGGUAAUUCCAGCUCUCGUAAUGUAUAGAAUUAUUGUUGCGGUUAAAAAGUUCGUAGUUGGAUUUUCGACUAUGAAAGGUCAUCCUUAACAGGAUGUACUUUUUGUAGUGUUUGCAUCCAAUUUGUAAGCAAUUAUAAAUUGAAUGCGGAUUACUUUGAACGGCUUAAGUGCUCAAGGCGAGUCUUCGGACUGAAUACCGGUGCAUGGAAUAAUGGAACAAGGUUUCGGCCGAGUUUUAUUGGUUUUGUCGGCUAAAACAAUGGUUAACAGGAACAGCUGGGGGCACUCGUAUCGCUGCGCGAGAGGUGAAAUUC
RNAcentral lists this ribosomal RNA (787 nucleotides) under Nematoda sp. AphK. RNAcentral describes it as "bacterial SSU rRNA". It matches the Rfam family "Eukaryotic small subunit ribosomal RNA", at positions 96 to 930 of the family's 1831-position model. The record is from RNAcentral. Lineage: Eukaryota; Metazoa; Nematoda.